CAAGAACUGGUGUCACCUUUAUUGGUUUCCGUCCACUCGGGCCUGGCUGUCCCCACGGUGGCCGUGACCGUCCCCAUGGUGGCCCUGACCAUCCCCACGGUGGCCCUGAACAUCCUCGUGGUGACCAUGACCAACCCUGCGGUGGCCUUGGCCAUCUCCUUGGUGGCCCUGGCCACUCCCAUGGUGGCCCUGACCCUGUCUGUGGUGGCCCUGGCUGUCCCUGCAGUGGCCCAUGUCGUUCUCAUGGUGGCCUUGGCUGUCCCCAUGGUGGCCACGGUAGCCCUGGCAGCGGAUCUCCCCCAUGGUGGCCGUGGACACAGUAGCUGUCCCCGUGGUGGCCAUCGCGGUGGCCCUGGCUGUCCUGUGGAGGCCUUGGUGGCCCUGACUGCCCCCACGGUGGCCCGGGUUGUCCCAACGGUGGCCCUAGCUGUCCCCACAGUGACUGUGGUGGCCCUGGUGGUGAACCUGGCUGUCCCAACCAUGGCCCUGCCCAUCCCUGCAGUGGCCGUGGUGGCCCUGACUGUCCCCAUGGUGGCCAUGGUGGCCCUGGUUGUCCCCACAGUAGCCAUGGUGGUGGCCCUGGCUCUCCCCAUGCUGGCCAUGGUCCUGGCCGUCCCAGCAGUGACCAUGGUGGCCCUGGCUGUCUCUGUGGUGGCCCUGGUUGUUCCUGUAGUGGCCAUGGUGGCCCAGAUUGUUCCUGCRGUGGCCCUGGCUGUCCCCAUGGUGGCUGUGGUGGCCCCAGGUGUCCCCAUGGUGGCCCUGACUGUCCCUGCGGUGGCCACGGUGGCCCUGGCUGUCCCUGCGGUGGCCGUGGUGGCCCUGGCUGGUCCCGUGGUGGCCCUGGCUGUCCCUGCGGUGGCCCUGGUGGCCCUGGCUGGUCCCGCGGUGGCCCCGGUGACCGUGGUUGUCCCCGCUGUGGCCCCGGCGGUCCCCGUGGUGGCCCUGGCUGUCCCCGCGGUGGCCACGGUGGCCGCGGUUGUCCCUGCGGUGACCCUGGCCGGGGCCCUUCCCUU
This 1013-nucleotide long non-coding RNA is filed under the name Apteryx owenii (little spotted kiwi). Its description in RNAcentral is "lncRNA (ENSAOWG00000014595.1)". Lineage: Eukaryota; Metazoa; Chordata; Aves; Apterygiformes; Apterygidae. The record is from RNAcentral.